RNAcentral lists this ribosomal RNA (1812 nucleotides) under Triticum aestivum (bread wheat). RNAcentral's name for it is "partial small subunit ribosomal RNA". The record is from RNAcentral. Lineage: Eukaryota; Viridiplantae; Streptophyta; Magnoliopsida; Poales; Poaceae.
AUGGCCGCUCCGCCGCGCAAGCGGGGGCUCACCUUCCGCACGGCGGCGCUCGCGCUCCUCGCCGUCCUCGCCGUCGCGCGAGGGCAGCAGCAGUACGAGGCCAACGCGCAGACCAACUGCUACGGCAGAAACGGCAGCUCCGUGCUCGGCUACACCUGCAACACCACCGCCGCGGCCGCCCCCUGCGCCACCUACGUCGUCUUCCGCUCCUCCCCGCCCCACACCAUCCAGUUCUGCCAGGCGCUCCUCGCGCAGAACCCCAGGCACGGCAGCCGCGACCUCGUCGCCGGGAACAACCUCACCGUGCCGAUCUGCUGGGCGUGCCCCUCGCCGGCACAGGCCGCCGCCGGGGUCAGGCACCUGCUCACCUACCUCGUCACGUGGGGCGACAGCGUCUCGGCCAUCGCGGACCGCUUCCGUAUCGACACCCAGGCUGUGCUCCAGGCCAACAACCUCACCGCUAGCGAGAUCAUAUUUCCCUUCACCACUCUGCUCAUCCCGCUCAAGAGCGCGCCCACGCCGGACAUGCUCGUGUCACGGGCGCCGCCGCCCGCACCGGCGCCACCGCAGGCACAGCAGCCGCGGGCGUCUGGCAGCGAGAAGUGGAUUGCCGUCGGGGUCGGUGUUGGUGUCGGCGUUCUUGCGCUGGCGGGCCUUCUUGGCCUGAUGUUGUUAUGUGUUCGCCGGCGGCGGCCCCGGCCAAGCGUUGGGGAAAGGGGCCGCGGGAGCAAGGUGGUUCUUGACGUGCCCUCGUCGGCGGAUUACGACGCUCUUGCCUCCGGCAAGCAUACAUCGGCAGCUACGAUGACCUCCUCAUCUUCAUCAGCGUUGGUGUCCAGCGACGCGCGCGCGGCGGUGGAGUCCCUGACCGUGUACAAGUACUCGGAACUCGAGAAGGCGACGGCAGGAUUCUCGGAGGAUCGGAGGGUCAAGAACGCGUCCGUGUACCGCGCGGAGAUCAACGGCGACGCGGCGGCCGUGAAGCGGGUGGCCGGCGAUGUGAGCGGCGAGGUGGGCAUCCUGAAGCGCGUGAACCACUCCAGCCUUGUCCGCCUCUCCGGUUUCUGCGUCCACCACGGCGACACCUACCUCGUCUUCGAGUUAGCCGAGAACGGCGCGCUCAGCGACUGGCUCCACGGCAGCGGCGCCACCCUCGUGUGGAAGCAGCGCGUGCAGGCGGCCUUCGACGUCACCGACGGCCUCAACUACCUCCAUCACUACACCAACCCGCCGUGCGUGCACAAGAACCUCAAGAGCAGCAACGUCCUCCUCGACGACGACCUCCGCGCCAAGGUGUCAAGCUUCGCGCUAGCGCGGUCGGUCCCCAUGGGCGCCGACGGUGGCGACGCGCAGCUCACCCGCCACGUCGUGGGCACCCAGGGGUACCUGGCCCCAGAGUACCUGGAGCACGGCCUCAUCACACCCAAGCUCGACGUUUUCGCCUUCGGCGUCAUCCUCCUCGAGCUGCUGUCCGGGAAAGAGGCGACAUUCGACGGCGGCGACAAAAGGGGGGAGACGCUGCUGUGGGAGUCCUCGGAGGGGCUGGUCGUCGACGGCGAGGACGCGCGGCAAGGUGCGGGCGUUCAUAGACCCGCGGCUGAACGGCGACUACCCGCUGGACCUCGCGGUCCCCGUGGCGUCGCUGGCGGUGCGGUGCAUGGCGAGGGAGCCCAGAGGGCGGCCCUCCAUGGAGGAGGUGUUCGUGACGCUGUCGGCGGUGUACAACUCCACGCUGGAUUGGGAUCCCUCGGAUUGCGGCAACUCUCGCUCUUCGAUCGUGGGGAGAUAAUACUGCAGAGCAAAAUCACUUGA